CUACGGGUUGCAGCAGUGAGGAAUAUUGCGCAAUGGGGGCAACCCUGACGCAGCGACGCCGUGUGAAGGAUGAAGGCCCUAGGGUUGUAAACUUCUGUCUAGAGGGAAGAAACUCUGACGGUACCUCUAAAGAAAGCACCGGCUAACUCCGUGCCAGCAGCCGCGGGAAUACGGAGGGUGCAAGCGUUAUUCGGAAUUACUAGGUGUAAAGGGCGUGUAGGUGGUUUAAAAAGUUAGAUGUGAAAUCUUGCAGCUCAACUGUAAGACUGCAUCUAAAACUGUUAGACUAGAGUAUGAAAGGGGAAAACGGAAUUUCUGGUGUAGCGGUGGAAUGUGUAGAUACCAGAAGGAACACCGAUGGCGAAAGCAGUUUUCUAGUUCAAUACUGACACUGAGGCGCGAAAGCUAGGGGAGCAAACAGGAUUAGAUACCCGCGUAGUC
This 441-nucleotide ribosomal RNA is filed under the name uncultured bacterium. Its description in RNAcentral is "partial 16S ribosomal RNA". It matches the Rfam family "Bacterial small subunit ribosomal RNA", at positions 339 to 795 of the family's 1533-position model. The record is from RNAcentral.